Non-coding RNA from Chlorocebus sabaeus (green monkey), 174 nucleotides. NCBI's taxonomy places the organism in Eukaryota, Metazoa, Chordata, Mammalia, Primates, Cercopithecidae. The record is from RefSeq and is a predicted model, not a curated record.
CUGGUGACAGCCUGACCCCCCCAUCUCUUGGGCAGGUGGCUGGCCUGUUUCAUGACCCCAGUAUUGGGAACCCCAUCCACAUCACCAUUGUGCGCCUGGUCCUUCUGGAAGAUGAAGAGGAGGACCUAAAGAUCACACACCAUGCAGACAACACCCUGAAGAGCUUUUGCAAGU